ACCCGCUGGACUUAAGCAUAUCAAUAAGCGGAGGAAAAGAAACCAACAGGGAUUGCCUCAGUAACGGCGAGUGAAGCGGCAACAGCUCAAAUUUGAAAUCUGCCACAAGGCCGAGUUGUAAUUUGCAGAGGAUGCUUUGGAAUCUGUCCCGUCUCAAGUCCUUUGGAACAGGGCGUCAAGGAGGGUGAAAAUCCCGUACUUUCGGGCCACAGUUUCCGUGUAAAGCUCCUUCGAAGAGUCGAGUUGUUUGGGAAUGCAGCUCUAAGUGGGAGGUAAAUUUCUUCCAAAGCUAAAUAUCUGCUAGAGACCGAUAGCGCACAAGUAGAGUGAUCGAAAGAUGAAAAGCACUUUGAAAAGAGAGUUAAAAAGCACGUGAAAUUGUUGAAAGGGAAGCUCAUGCAGUCAGACAUGGUGUCGUCGGCUCAGCCUUUUGGUGUAUUCCGACGAUGCCAGGCUAGCAUCAGUCGGGGCAGCUGGAUAAAAGUUUUGGGAAUGUAGCUCCUCGGAGUGUUAUAGCCCGAUUCAGAAUGCAGUUCGUUCCGACUGAGGACCGCUUACAGGAUGCUGGCAUAAUGGUGGCAUGAGGCCCGUCUG
This 594-nucleotide ribosomal RNA is filed under the name Marcelaria cumingii. Its description in RNAcentral is "eukaryotic LSU rRNA". It matches the Rfam family "Eukaryotic large subunit ribosomal RNA", at positions 23 to 655 of the family's 3401-position model. Lineage: Eukaryota; Fungi; Ascomycota; Dothideomycetes; Trypetheliales; Trypetheliaceae. The record is from RNAcentral.